This is a non-coding RNA of Pogona vitticeps (central bearded dragon), 717 nucleotides long. Lineage: Eukaryota; Metazoa; Chordata; Lepidosauria; Squamata; Agamidae. The record is from RefSeq and is a predicted model, not a curated record.
CUUGGUCUCUUUUUUUUCUUCUUCUGUUGUAUCAAGAGAUGAGAUGCUUCUGACCUGACAGCCAUAAUCAGCAGAAAGUGAUGGACCUGAAACAACAGCAGGUGCUGGAGUAAAAUUUGAAGGAGGACUCUGGAGAGAAGUCAAUAUCUAUCAAAGACUGCAAAUACCUAACAGAAGAUAAAACUCUUUUAAACCCCAAUCAGGCAGACAGAAAGGAAACAUAACUUAGAGCAGACAUACUCCAAGGAAGAAACAAAGGCUCAGCCGCUGUUCAAGACAGGAAAUGCCUCACUUACUGAAGCAGAGAAACUGCCGCGGUGGCUGGACUGAAGGGAGUGAAAAGAUGACCUCUGGAAAGAAUCAGUGAGCAGCUUCUCUGUUGCAAGCAGAUGAGGCCAGGGAAGACAGAGGUCACCCACACCAGACCCAAAGAAGGCUUCAAUCCCACCAGCUCCAUCACACCAAAGAUGCCCAACAGCACCGCCCCAAACUAGUGAGGAGAAUGAGGCUCCCUGAGGAUCAAGAGAAGAGCCAACACUCCUGCCAGCCGCUUCUACCAGCAUUCAUUAAGGGGCUCCAAGCCUGGCCCAAGACCAGUUCUGUUGAGCACAAGAGACACGUAGAGAAGAAAGAGGGGGAGUGGUUUCAUAGACCUGAUAAAAGAUUAAACAAUCUAGGUAAGAAGCUGUCCCACAUGGCCCUUGGUUGUUUCACCAA